This is a non-coding RNA of Acanthosepion pharaonis, 91 nucleotides long. NCBI's taxonomy places the organism in Eukaryota, Metazoa, Mollusca, Cephalopoda, Sepiida, Sepiidae. The record is from the annotation of a GenBank genome assembly.
ACUGGUUCCCGUACAAACACAGAAGUUAAGCAACAUAGAGUCUAGUCAGUAUCUAGAUGGGUGACCACUUGGGAUUACCACGUUCUGUAAG